CAGCCGCCGCGGUAAUACGAAGGGGGCUAGCGUUGCUCGGAAUGACUGGGCGUAAAGGGCGCGUAGGCGGUUUUGACAGUCAGAUGUGAAAUUCCUGGGCUUAACCUGGGGGCUGCAUUUGAGACGUCAAGACUAGAGUGUGAGAGAGGGUUGUGGAAUUCCCAGUGUAGAGGUGAAAUUCGUAGAUAUUCGGAAGAACACCAGUGGCGAAGGCGGCUUACUGGCUCAUACUGGACGCUGAGGUGCGAAAGCGUGGGGAGCAAACAGGAUUAGAUACCCCAGUAGUCCCUGUCUCUUAUAC
RNAcentral lists this ribosomal RNA (301 nucleotides) under uncultured bacterium. RNAcentral's name for it is "partial 16S ribosomal RNA". It matches the Rfam family "Bacterial small subunit ribosomal RNA", at positions 509 to 807 of the family's 1533-position model. The record is from RNAcentral.